This 409-nucleotide long non-coding RNA is filed under the name Parus major (Great Tit). Its description in RNAcentral is "lncRNA (ENSPMJG00000010945.1)". The record is from RNAcentral. Lineage: Eukaryota; Metazoa; Chordata; Aves; Passeriformes; Paridae.
UCUCCUUCAUUUUUCCUGUCCCUCUCUGCUCCCUGCCUACAGACUGUCAACACUUAUUAAGAAGAAGAAUAUAAAUGUUCUAGAAGAAUAUAUGCUGAGGAUAGCUUUCAGCUGCUGCGCUCUUAACUUAAGCCAAGUGCCUUGGAAGUGCAGUGAUUGUUCAGGAGCAACGAGGGACCUGCAGCACCUCCUCUGGGUACAGCAGAGGCAACUUCACCUGGCAUACUGGGAAUAGUUGGGCGGCUUUGACUUUCCCCCUCCAGCAUAUGUAGGUAAGCACCCCUCUCACCUGUCUUAACUCUGCAUAGAUAUAAACUAUAUGAAUAUAAAAUACCUAGGAUGGAUAACAAAGAAAACAUGUAUUCUUAAUCCUUGUCUCACAUGUAUGAAUACUCACAGUGAAUCAUGC